AGGAAAUGAACUCAGAGGAGGGAGGAGGGCUGCCAUAUGUCUGCUGGUUUGUUGUUUAGGAAGCCGUUAGUCUUUGUGGUAGCACUUUCCUUAAAGUUAGGGUGGAAGCAGGUACCAUGAUGUUUAAGUUAGAGAAUUAAAGGUGUGUAAGAAGGCUCUUCACAGAAGGUUCACUUUUAUCUGUCUUCUUUUCUUCAGGUUCCACCACCUCUCAGCGUCAUCACACUUGGGACCAAGCUUCCGACAUAUGAACCAUGGGGGAUAAACCAUAUCCAAACCAUAGCAACAGCCGUCUUAAUAAACACAGCCAGAUAAGAUAUGGUGUAUUAAUGUAGCUCUUUGGGCGGUAAUGGGAAAAGGAUGCACCUGAAGGGUUAAUGUUUGUAAUUGUGGACUUGUCAGGG
RNAcentral lists this long non-coding RNA (404 nucleotides) under Heterocephalus glaber (naked mole-rat). Its description in RNAcentral is "lncRNA (ENSHGLG00000050205.1)". The record is from RNAcentral. Lineage: Eukaryota; Metazoa; Chordata; Mammalia; Rodentia; Bathyergidae.